ACACAUGCAAGUCGAACGGCAGCAUAGAGAGCUUGCUCUCUGAUGGCGAGUGGCGAACGGGUGAGUAAUAUAUCGGAACGUGCCUAGUAAUGGGGAACAACUAAUCGAAAGAUUAGCUAAUACCGCAUACGACCUACGGGUGAAAGCAGGGGAUCUUCGGACCUUGCGUUAUUAGAGCGGCCGAUAUCUGAUUAGCUUGUUGGUAGGGUAAAAGCCUACCAAGGCAACGAUCAGUAGCUGGUCUGAGAGGACGAUCAGCCACACUGGAACUGAGACACGGUCCAGACUCCUACGGGAGGCAGCAGUGGGGAAUUUUGGACAAUGGGGGCAACCCUGAUCCAGCCAUUCCGCGUGAGUGAAGAAGGCCUUCGGGUUGUAAAGCUCUUUCGCAAGAGAAGAAAACUUACUAUCCAAUAAAUAGUAAGCAUGACGGUAUCUUGAUAAGAAGCACCGGCUAACUAUGUGCCAGCAGCCGCGGUAAUACAUAGGGUGCGAGCGUUAAUCGGAAUUACUGGGCGUAAAGCGUUCGCAGGCGGUUUUAUAAGUCAGAUGUGAAAUCCCCGAGCUCAACUUGGGAACUGCGUUUGAAACUGUAAGACUAGAGUGUGUCAGAGGGGGGUAGAAUUCCAUGUGUAGCAGUGAAAUGCGUAGAUAUGUGGAGGAAUACCAAUGGCGAAGGCAGCCCCCUGGGAUAACACUGACGCUCAUGAACGAAAGCGUGGGGAGCAAACAGGAUUAGAUACCCUGGUAGUCCACGCCCUAAACGAUGUCUACUAGUUGUUGGUGGAGUAAAAUCCAUGAGUAACGCAGCUAACGCGUGAAGUAGACCGCCUGGGGAGUAC
This 842-nucleotide ribosomal RNA is filed under the name uncultured Methylophilaceae bacterium. RNAcentral describes it as "bacterial SSU rRNA". It matches the Rfam family "Bacterial small subunit ribosomal RNA", at positions 51 to 883 of the family's 1533-position model. The record is from RNAcentral. Lineage: Bacteria; Pseudomonadati; Pseudomonadota; Betaproteobacteria; Nitrosomonadales; Methylophilaceae.